GGCUUAACACAUGCAAGUCGAGCGGUAACAGAUCUAGCUUGCUAGAUGCUGACGAGCGGCGGACGGGUGAGUAAUGCAUAGGAAACUGCCCAGUAGUGGGGGAUAGCCCGGGGAAACCCGGAUUAAUACCGCGUACGCCCUUCGGGGGAAAGCAGGGGAUCUUUGGACCUUGCGCUAUUGGAUGUGCCUAUGUCGGAUUAGCUAGUUGGUGGGGUAAAGGCCUACCAAGGCGACGAUCCGUAGCUGGUCUGAGAGGAUGAUCAGCCACAUCGGGACUGAGACACGGCCCGAACUCCUACGGGAGGCAGCAGUGGGGAAUAUUGGACAAUGGGGGCAACCCUGAUCCAGCCAUGCCGCGUGUGUGAAGAAGGCUUUCGGGUUGUAAAGCACUUUCAGUGAGGAGGAAAAGUUGGUCACUAAUAUUGGCCAGCCUUGACGUUACUCACAGAAGAAGCACCGGCUAACUCCGUGCCAGCAGCCGCGGUAAUACGGAGGGUGCAAGCGUUAAUCGGAAUUACUGGGCGUAAAGCGCGCGUAGGUGGUUUGAUAAGCGAGAUGUGAAAGCCCCGGGCUUAACCUGGGAACGGCAUUUCGAACUGUCAGGCUAGAUAUGGUAGAGGGUAGUGGAAUUUCCUGUGUAGCGGUGAAAUGCGUU
Molecule: ribosomal RNA, 655 nt
Filed under: uncultured Marinobacter sp.
Lineage: Bacteria; Pseudomonadati; Pseudomonadota; Gammaproteobacteria; Pseudomonadales; Marinobacteraceae
Description: bacterial SSU rRNA
Rfam family: Bacterial small subunit ribosomal RNA
Source: RNAcentral